Molecule: ribosomal RNA, 207 nt
Filed under: uncultured bacterium
Lineage: Bacteria
Description: partial 16S ribosomal RNA
Rfam family: Bacterial small subunit ribosomal RNA
Source: RNAcentral
CGCGCAGGCGGCCAGGUCAGUCGAAUGUGAAAGCCCCCGGCUCAACUGGGGAGGGUCAUUCGAUACUGCCUGGCUCGAAGAUAGGAGAGGGAAGCGGAAUUUCAGGUGUAGUGGUGAAAUGCGUAGAUAUCUGAAGGAACACCAGUGGCGAAGGCGGCUUUCUGGCCUAUCCUUGACGCUGAGGCGCGAAAGCUAGGGGAGCGAACG